RNAcentral lists this ribosomal RNA (483 nucleotides) under uncultured bacterium. RNAcentral's name for it is "partial 16S ribosomal RNA". It matches the Rfam family "Bacterial small subunit ribosomal RNA", at positions 899 to 1397 of the family's 1533-position model. The record is from RNAcentral.
ACUCAAAGGAAUUGACGGGGGCCCGCACAAGCAGCGGAGCGUGUGGUUUAAUUCGAGGUUACACGAAGCACCUUACCUGGACUGGACAUGGCGCUAGUAGGGGUUGGAAACAACUCCGACCGCAAGGAGGCGUCACCGGUGCUGCAUGGCUGUCGUCAGCUCGUGCCGUGAGGUGUAGGGUUAAGUCCUGAAACGAGCGCAACCCUCGGCGGUAGUUAGAGUGUCUACCGCGACUGCCCGUGACAAGCGGGAGGAAGGUGGGGAUGACGUCAAGUCAGCAUGGCCUGUAUGUCCAGGGCGACACACACGCUACAAUGGUCGGUACAAUGGGCAGCCAAGCCGCAAGGCGGAGCUAAUCCAAUCAAAGCCGGCCUCAGUUCAGAUUGUGGGCUGCAACCCGCCCACAUGAAGUCGGAGUUGCUAGUAACCGCGCGUCAGCAGAGUGCGGUGAAUACGUUCCCGGGCCUUGUACACACCGCCCGU